CCUCUCGGAGACGCCGAGAUCAUCUCCCACGUCAUAGCUGGUCUCGACAUCGACUACAACCCUGUGAUCUCGGCGUUGGCUGCGAGGAUCGAACCUGUUACGAUCCAGGAGCUGUAUAGCCAGCUCCUGAGCUUCGACG
Hordeum vulgare subsp. vulgare (domesticated barley) is the source of this 139-nucleotide non-coding RNA. NCBI's taxonomy places the organism in Eukaryota, Viridiplantae, Streptophyta, Magnoliopsida, Poales, Poaceae. The record is from Rfam.